CGCGUGUACUGGUCCGGCCGGGCCUUUCCCUCUGUGGAACCCCAUGCCCUUCACUGGGUGUGGCGGGGAAACAGGACUUUUACUUUGAAAAAAUUAGAGUGCUCCAGGCAGGCCUAUGCUCGAAUACAUUAGCAUGGAAUAAUAGAAUAGGACGUGUGGUUCUAUUUUGUUGGUUUCUAGGACCGCCGUAAUGAUUAAUAGGGACAGUCGGGGGCAUCAGUAUUCAAUUGUCAGAGGUGAAAUUCUUGGAUUUAUUGAAGACUAACUACUGCGAAAGCAUUUGCCAAGGAUGUUUUCAUUAAUCAGGAACGAAAGUUAGGGGAUCGAAGACGAUCAGAUACCGUCGUAGUCUUAACCAUAAACUAUGCCGACUAGGGAUCGGACGAUGUUAUUUUUUGACUCGUUCGGCACCUUACGAGAAAUCAAAGUGCUUGGGCUCCAGGGGGAGUAUGGUCGCAAGGCUGAAACUUAAAGAAAUUGACGGAAGGGCACCACCAGGGGUGGAGCCUGCGGCUUAAUUUGACUCAACACGGGGAAACUCACCAGGUCCAGACACGGGUGGGAUUGACAGAUUGAGAGCUCUUUCUUGAUUCUGUGGGUGGUGGUGCAUGGCCGUUCUUAGUUCGUGGAGUGAUUUGUCUGGUUAAUUCCGUUAGCGGACGAGACCUUAACCUGCUAACUAGUUCCGCUCCCAGUCGACCCCGACGGCGGAGACUUCUUAGAGGGACUAUGCGG
This 735-nucleotide ribosomal RNA is filed under the name uncultured eukaryote. RNAcentral's name for it is "SSU rRNA". It matches the Rfam family "Eukaryotic small subunit ribosomal RNA", at positions 670 to 1427 of the family's 1831-position model. The record is from RNAcentral.